GCGGAUGUGGCGGAAUCGGCAGACGCGCCAGAUUCAGGUUCUGGUGGUAGCAAUACCGUGUGGGUUCAAGUCCCUUCAUCCGCACCA
Molecule: transfer RNA, 87 nt
Filed under: Oscillospiraceae bacterium
Lineage: Bacteria; Bacillati; Bacillota; Clostridia; Eubacteriales; Oscillospiraceae
Description: tRNA-Leu
Rfam family: tRNA
About the family: Transfer RNA (tRNA) molecules are approximately 80 nucleotides in length.
Source: RNAcentral